UAGGGAAUAUUGGACAAUGGGCGCAAGCCUGAUCCAGCCAUGCCGCGUGAGUGAAGAAGGCCCUCGGGUUGUAAAGCUCUUUUGUCCGGAAAGAAAAGCAUCGGGUUAAUACCCCGGUGUUCUGACGGUACCGGAAGAAUAAGCACCGGCUAACUUCGUGCCAGCAGCCGCGGUAAUACGAAGGGGGCUAGCGUUGCUCGGAAUUACUGGGCGUAAAGCGCACGUAGGCGGACUCUUAAGUCGGUGGUGAAAUCCUGGAGCUCAACUCCAGAAAUGCCUUCGAUACUGGGAGUCUUGAGUUCGGGAGAGGUGAGUGGAACUGCGAGUGUAGAGGUGAAAUUCGUAGAUAUUCGCAAGAACACCAGUGGCGAAGGCGGCUCACUGGCCCGAUACUGACGCUGAGGUGCGAAAGCGUGGGGAGCAAACA
RNAcentral lists this ribosomal RNA (427 nucleotides) under uncultured bacterium. RNAcentral describes it as "bacterial SSU rRNA". It matches the Rfam family "Bacterial small subunit ribosomal RNA", at positions 355 to 774 of the family's 1533-position model. The record is from RNAcentral.